AGUGAACGCUGGCGGUAGGCCUAACACAUGCAAGUCGAACGGCAGCACAGUAAGAGCUUGCUCUUACGGGUGGCGAGUGGCGGACGGGUGAGGAAUACAUCGGAAUCUACUUUUUCGUGGGGGAUAACGUAGGGAAACUUACGCUAAUACCGCAUACGACCUACGGGUGAAAGCAGGGGAUCUUCGGACCUUGCGCGAUUGAAUGAGCCGAUGUCGGAUUAGCUAGUUGGCGGGGUAAAGGCCCACCAAGGCGACGAUCCGUAGCUGGUCUGAGAGGAUGAGGGGCCAGAUGGGGAAUGAGAUACGGCCCAGACUCAUACGGGAAGGAGAAGUUGGGAAUAUUGCAAAAUGGGCGGAAGCCUGAUGCAGCAACGCCGAGUGCGGGAUGACGGACGUCGGGAUGUAAACCGCUGUCGCCGGUGACGAAGGGUGAGUGACGGUAAUGGGUAAAGAAGCACGGGCUAAGUAAGUG
This 472-nucleotide ribosomal RNA is filed under the name uncultured bacterium. RNAcentral describes it as "partial 16S ribosomal RNA". It matches the Rfam family "Bacterial small subunit ribosomal RNA", at positions 30 to 507 of the family's 1533-position model. The record is from RNAcentral.